This is a long non-coding RNA of Limulus polyphemus (Atlantic horseshoe crab), 302 nucleotides long. RefSeq lists it as uncharacterized. The transcript has 3 exons. The record is from RefSeq and is a predicted model, not a curated record. Lineage: Eukaryota; Metazoa; Arthropoda; Merostomata; Xiphosura; Limulidae.
ACUCCACAACUGUUAAUUGUAGAGUGCCCAGACAAGGAUAUUAAUCAAAGGAGGGAAGAUUGUUAAUGAUGAUUUAAUGUUUGAUGGAGAUGUCUACCUGGAAGAUGGAAUUAUCAAACAAGUUGGAAAAGAUCUUAUCAUUCCUGGAGGCACCAGAACUAUUGAUGCCAAAGGGAAACUAAUUAUCCCAGGUGGCAUUGAUACCCACACUCACUUUCAACUUCCUUUCAUGGGUACUAGAGCAGCUGAUGAUUUUUAUCAUGGAACAAAGGCUGCAUUAGCUGGAGGAACUACCAUGAUAA